This 433-nucleotide ribosomal RNA is filed under the name uncultured bacterium. RNAcentral's name for it is "partial 16S ribosomal RNA". It matches the Rfam family "Bacterial small subunit ribosomal RNA", at positions 29 to 507 of the family's 1533-position model. The record is from RNAcentral.
AACGAACGCUGGCGGCAUGCCUAACACAUGCAAGUCGAACGAGACCUUCGGGACUAGUGGCGCACGGGUGCGUAACGCGUGGGAACCUGCCCUUAGGUUCGGAAUAACUCUCCGAAAGGGGUGCUAAUACCGGAUAAUGUCUUCGGACCAAAGAUUUAUCGCCUUUGGAUGGGCCCGCGUUGGAUUAGCUAGUUGGUAGGGUAAAAGCCUACCAAGGCGACGAUCCAUAGCUGGUCUGAGAGGAUGAUCAGCCACACUGGGACUGAGACACGGCCCAGACUCCUACGGGAGGCAGCAAUGGGGAAUAUUGGACAAUGGGCGAAAGCCUGAUCCAGCAAUGCCGCGUGAGUGAUGAAGGCCUUAGGGUUGUAAAGCUCUUUUACCCGGGAUGAUAAUGACAGUACCGGAAGAAUAAGCUCCGGCUAACUCCGUG